Molecule: ribosomal RNA, 393 nt
Filed under: uncultured bacterium
Lineage: Bacteria
Description: partial 16S ribosomal RNA
Rfam family: Bacterial small subunit ribosomal RNA
Source: RNAcentral
AUACGGAAGGUCCGGGCGUUAUCCGGAUUUAUUGGGUUUAAAGGGAGCGCAGGCGGAGAUGCAAGCGUGACGUCAAAUUUCGGGGCUCAACCCCGUCUCGCGUCGCGAACUGCGUCCCUUGGUUGCGGGAAGGGGAGGCGGAACUCGUGGUGUAGCGGGGAGAUGCAUAGAUAUCACGAAGAACUCCGAUCGCGAAGGCAGCCUUCCGGCCCGUCAACGACGCUCAUGCUCGAAGGUGCGGGUAUCAAACAGGAUUAGAUACCCUGGUAGUCCGCACAGUAAACGAUGGACACCCGCGGUUUGGCCUGUAUGGCUGAGCCGCCAAGCGAAAGCGUUAAGUGUCCCACCUGGGGAGUACGCCGGCAACGGUGAAACUCAAAGGAAUUGGCGGGG